This is a long non-coding RNA of Brassica rapa (field mustard), 808 nucleotides long. RefSeq lists it as uncharacterized. The record is from RefSeq and is a predicted model, not a curated record. NCBI's taxonomy places the organism in Eukaryota, Viridiplantae, Streptophyta, Magnoliopsida, Brassicales, Brassicaceae.
UCUGUAUUUUCUUAAUAUAAAAUAAAACCAAAAAUUAUAAAGAACUAAAUAGAAUUUCAGACUUUUUUUUUUAGGAAGCACUUUUACUCUAAUGAUUUGAUAAAAAAAAAUUAAUACUUCUACAUCAGAAGGUUUGAGUUUUGAAUCUCAAGAAAUGUGAUCUAUAACCAAUUAUGCUGAAUACUGGUAAAAGCUUACAUGAGAUUUUCUCAUUGUGUAAACAGAACCGCCAAGCAUAGAUAGCUCUUCAUAAAAACGACUUGAUAUGAGGCAACUAUGACUCAAAUAAAGUGUGCUUUGGUGUCAGUUCAAAUAAAUUUGAACCGGUUUGAUAUGUAGAGAAUUAUCCGGAAAUAAAUGCUUUUUUUUUGUCAGCAUUCGGAAAUAAAUGCUGGUGGAUUAUUUAAAAACUUAUUCUUAGGUUCACCAACCAAUAGGAUUGUGUCAUUUUAGAUUUAGUAUCUUUUAAAAAAAGAAACAAAAUAUUAUCGAAUUAUAUUAUAUUUUUAAAAUAAAAAUUGUAUUAAUCACAAAAAGAAGUUUUUUUAAUCGCAAAAAAAAAAAAAUAUUUUUCAACAGUAUUUUUAACGCUGCCAACAAAUAUUAAACCCUAAACCCUAAACCUAUAGGUAAACCCUAAACUCUUGAAUAAAUCAUAAAUCUUAAAGUUUAAGAUUUGAUCCAAGAGUUUCGGAUUUAUUCAAGGGUUUAGGGUUUACCUAAGGGUUUAGGGUUUACCCAAGGGUUUAGGGUUUAGGAUUAAGAUUUAGGGUUUAGUGUUUUGUUGAUUGUGUUAAAAAUAUUUUUU